GAACCAUAGUUGUGCGGUUAUAUGAUUUGUGGUAUUUGCUAAAGUGCGAGCUGUAAGGUUAGUACCUUAUGCAACGUGCUAGCACCUACAUAUUCUCCAGAAUUUUCUUCUAAAAUGUCCAUUUAGUACUGAGCCACAAAUUUCAGAGAGAAUCAGAAUCUGUAGCCUUGCUCAGUAAGGGAGGCAAUGGCAGCCGUGGCGCAGCAUCACCGGGAGGACGGCCUUGAGGUGCAGAGAAGAGAUAUCGGAUGAAUCAGAAACUGAAGAUGACGAUACAAUGGACACAGAAGAAGCUUCCUCUGUCCUCAUCGCCGCACUGUAGUCUUUCAGCCAUGCUCUGGUGAAUGAUGACGGAGAAAAAGAUACCGAAACUGCUCUACAGACGACAAAACAGUAGACGAUGCCAGGACGAUUAAGAAUCCGGCGGCCAUGGCUUACCUGUACACAUGCAUGUGUGGCUGGAUUUCAUUGUCGUGCAUCAAUCGUUCGUACUUCUGUUUUUUAGUCUAUGGAGAAUGUAUGUGUAUGCUGGUUCCAUAUACUCUAUGUCUGGUUGGCAGGAGAUCUCCUAUAUAUGCGAGGUUUUGUAUCCUUA
Molecule: long non-coding RNA, 595 nt
Organism: Aegilops tauschii subsp. strangulata
Lineage: Eukaryota; Viridiplantae; Streptophyta; Magnoliopsida; Poales; Poaceae
Source: RefSeq, a predicted model, not a curated record